Molecule: ribosomal RNA, 328 nt
Filed under: uncultured eukaryote
Lineage: Eukaryota
Description: partial 18S ribosomal RNA
Rfam family: Eukaryotic small subunit ribosomal RNA
Source: RNAcentral
CCCUUAGAUGUUCUGGGCCGCACGCGCGCUACACUGACGAUGGCAACGAGUUUUUCCUUCGCCGAAAGGUGUGGGUAAUCUUUUGAAACAUCGUCGUGCUGGGGAUAGAUCAUUGCAAUUUUUGAUCUUGAACGAGGAAUUCCUAGUAAGCGCGAGUCAUCAGCUCGCGUUGAUUACGUCCCUGCCCUUUGUACACACCGCCGUCGCUACUACCGAUUGAAUGGUUUAGUGAGGACUCCUGAUUGGCGCCGCCGCCCCGGCAACGGAGCAGCGGACUGCCGAAAAGUUGUUCAAACUUGAUCAUUUAGAGGAAGUAAAAGUCGUAACA